UGGGGAAUAUUGGACAAUGGGCGCAAGCCUGAUCCAGCCAUGCCGCGUGAGUGAUGAAGGCCUUAGGGUUGUAAAGCUCUUUCGGCGGGGACGAUAAUGACGGUACCCGCAGAAGAAGCCCCGGCUAACUUCGUGCCAGCAGCCGCGGUAAUACGAAGGGGGCUAGCGUUGCUCGGAAUCACUGGGCGUAAAGGGCGCGUAGGCGGACAUUUAAGUCGGGGGUGAAAGCCCAGGGCUCAACCCUGGAAUUGCCUCCGAUACUGGGUGUCUCGAGACCGGAAGAGGUGAGUGGGACUGCGAGUGUAGAGGUGAAAUUCGUAGAUAUUCGCAAGAACACCAGUGGCGAAGGCGGCUCACUGGUCCGGUUCUGACGCUGAGGCGCGAAAGCGUGGGGAGCAAACAGGAUUAGAUACCCUGGUAGUCCACGCCGUAAACGGUGGAUGCUAGCCGUUGGGGGGUUUACCUCUCAGUGGCGCAGCUAAGCGCCUUAAGCAUCCCGCCUGGGGAGUACGGUCGCAAGAUUAAAACUUAAAUGAAUUGACGGGGUCAUAGCUGUUU
This 558-nucleotide ribosomal RNA is filed under the name uncultured bacterium. RNAcentral describes it as "partial 16S ribosomal RNA". It matches the Rfam family "Bacterial small subunit ribosomal RNA", at positions 355 to 935 of the family's 1533-position model. The record is from RNAcentral.